AAGAAGCCGAAUCCGGCCCGGGAGCGGGGGAACCAAGUUAUUUGGGGUGAAUGUCAUGGCUGCGGCAACGCAAAUCCGACAAGGACGGACUCUCUGUCCUAAUCCGGCAGCUAACCUCGUAGGCAAAAAUGAGAGGAG
This 138-nucleotide small RNA is filed under the name bovine gut metagenome. Its description in RNAcentral is "ydaO/yuaA leader". It matches the Rfam family "c-di-AMP riboswitch aptamer (ydaO/yuaA leader)". Rfam says of the family: This family represents a conserved RNA structure found upstream of the ydaO and yuaA genes in Bacillus subtilis and related genes in other bacteria. The ydaO/yuaA element is thought to act as a genetic "off" switch for the ydaO and yuaA genes in its native state. The record is from RNAcentral.